CAGUAGGGAGGAAGGUAGUGUAGUUAACACCUGCAUUAUUUGACGUUACCUACAGAAGAAGCACCGGCUAACUCCGUGCCAGCAGCCGCGGUAAUACGGAGGGUGCGAGCGUUAAUACGGAAUUACUGGGACGUAAAGCGCAUGCAGGCGGCCUGUUAAGUCAGAUGUAGAAAGGCCCGGGGACCGUUUAACCCGUACCGGUAAAUUGCUAUUUAGUAAACGUGGCGAGGCUAGAGUCUUGUAGAGGGGGGUAGGAAUUUCAGGUGUAGCGGUGAAAUGCGUAGAGAUCUGAAGGAAUACCAGUGGCGAAGGCGGCCCCCUGGACAAAGACUGACGCUCAGAUGCGAAAGCGUGGGGAGCAAACAGGAUUAGAUACCCUGGUAG
Molecule: ribosomal RNA, 384 nt
Filed under: uncultured bacterium
Lineage: Bacteria
Description: bacterial SSU rRNA
Rfam family: Bacterial small subunit ribosomal RNA
Source: RNAcentral